This is a long non-coding RNA of Trifolium pratense (red clover), 682 nucleotides long. RefSeq lists it as uncharacterized. The record is from RefSeq and is a predicted model, not a curated record. Lineage: Eukaryota; Viridiplantae; Streptophyta; Magnoliopsida; Fabales; Fabaceae. The transcript has 3 exons.
ACAAAUAUUGCAAACAUUGGUGCCAGUCAGAGCUCUCAACCUCUUGAGACGAUAGCAGCACUUUUGCACAAUGAUAUUCUCUUCUUUCCUUUUUCACAUUUAUUUAUGCACCAUUUUCUUCUUCCAGUUCUAACUAACUUCACUCAUUUUCUUAAUUUUUGUUUUCGAACCAGAAUUGUUUUUGUUGACGGAACCACCUUGCCGGACUUCUCCUUCCGCCGUGUUCUUCUUCUUUUCUAAUGGGUCUCGUGUCAGUUUGUGCAUCUAACUGCCCACAAUUGAAUGUCGCAAUGGAGGUUUGGCACUUAUGAUCAUUCUGGUCAUCAUGUCAUCGAAGAAUUAUAUGCAACGAGUUAAGAUUGUAGAAGGAGAGGGAGUCAGUACCUCUUUUUCCAGGCCUGUUCGGACAUACGGUUCCCGCCGAAGAUCAAGUUAGUGAGCCGUGUGAUGGUAAACCUUCCCGCACGGUUCAGAGAGCACUGAAUUAGAAUAAGAGGUUCACCAUCACAUCAUUGCAUGCAAGGGGAGCUCGGUCGAUUUGAAAAUAGGAACUUGCUUUCAUGAAUUUUAUCUGGAAACCUUAUCAAGAACGUGAUAUACAUCUUCAAAGCAAGGAUUGCCAAGUAAGCUUCAUGUUGUAUUCAGGGGUUUUAUUAUUAUAAUAAUAGUUAGAAUAUAGUUG